AUAUCUCAAAUCAGACAGUUUAUUAUAAAUUGUCUUGAUUUGGACUUGGACUUUGCUGUGAUAUUUAGCAGCUGGUCUUAAAUGCAUUAGCCGGCCCUCAUGUAGGUUUGGUUUGACUCGGUGUGAUAAUUAUCAAGUCACUGAGGACAUUUCCAUUGGAGAUGGCCAAACUUAUUUAGGACUGCUUCUAAUCGUCCUCUUGGGACAAUUAUUUCUA
This 217-nucleotide unclassified non-coding RNA is filed under the name uncultured Agaricomycetes. RNAcentral's name for it is "sequence contains ITS2". The record is from RNAcentral. RNAcentral also lists the same sequence under 2 other names. Lineage: Eukaryota; Fungi; Basidiomycota; Agaricomycetes.